This 169-nucleotide long non-coding RNA is filed under the name Cavia porcellus (domestic guinea pig). RNAcentral's name for it is "lncRNA (ENSCPOG00000040684.1)". The record is from RNAcentral. Lineage: Eukaryota; Metazoa; Chordata; Mammalia; Rodentia; Caviidae.
GGCCAAUGUGGUAGCAGCGCAUUUGCUUUUCUCCCAGCCUGGUUUCUGAGAGCUAAUUCCCUUGGCCAGUUCAUCCUCCAAGUUGAAGUGCCAGUGGAAAGCACGUGACCUAGGAGGAUGGGCUUUGGAGUCUGAAAGUCUGGAAGCAGCAUUCAUAUCUGAGAGAGAC